This 97-nucleotide small nuclear RNA is filed under the name Zea mays. RNAcentral describes it as "U2 spliceosomal RNA". It matches the Rfam family "U2 spliceosomal RNA". Rfam says of the family: U2 is a small nuclear RNA (snRNA) component of the spliceosome (involved in pre-mRNA splicing). Complementary binding between U2 snRNA (in an area lying towards the 5' end but 3' to hairpin I) and the branchpoint sequence (BPS) of the intron results the bulging out of an unpaired adenosine, on the BPS, which initiates a nucleophilic attack at the intronic 5' splice site, thus starting the first of two transesterification reactions that mediate splicing. Lineage: Eukaryota; Viridiplantae; Streptophyta; Magnoliopsida; Poales; Poaceae. The record is from Rfam by way of RNAcentral.
UAUGCUUCUUGGCCUUUUGGCUAAGAUAAAGUGUAAUAUUUGUUCUUGUGUUUCAUUGCAACACAUGGACAUUAUACUAGUAAGGUGUACAACAUAC